This 253-nucleotide ribosomal RNA is filed under the name uncultured bacterium. RNAcentral describes it as "partial 16S ribosomal RNA". It matches the Rfam family "Bacterial small subunit ribosomal RNA", at positions 524 to 776 of the family's 1533-position model. The record is from RNAcentral.
UACAGGGGGUGCAAACGUUGCUCGGAAUCAUUGGGCGUAAAGCGCACGUAGGCGGUCUGUUAUGUCGGAUGUGAAAGCCCUUGGCUCAACUGAGGAAGUGCAUCCGAAACUGGCAGGCUAGAGUACUAAAGAGGAUCGCGGAAUUCCCGGUGUAGAGGUGAAAUUCGUAGAUAUCGGGAGGAAUACCAGUGGCGAAGGCGGCUUCUUGGCCUGUUCUUGACGCUGAGGCGCGAAAGCUGGGGGAGCAAACGGG